UCCGGCUGGUGGUCUGAAUUGCCGUCGUUAAUGACAAUCGUUCCCUAGUAACGGCAGUCUCCGGCGGCUCCCGCCUCCUCGUCGGACAAUCGGCCGUCGUUUAGUCGUUAUAUCUCUUGGUUGUAUCCAUCCCGAAGACUAUACUCAACAAAUUUUGGAGGUGAUUACAAAUCGGCUGAAUCCACAGUAAGGGGGUCAAUGAACCAAGGCACUCAUGACUUCAUGAGGCAGAGCCCAAGUAUAAGUAAUCUGUAGAGGAUACAGGCAAAAAGUGAGAACCAUGUAGGUUGUGACCUGGUCAAUUUUGUAGUGCCAUGGUUAUCAAGAAUGUUUAUCCAGUGAAAGGGACAACCUGAUGAGCAUCUACCAAAGUGAAGGUUUAGGUUUAGGUUUAGGUCUGCCCCGCCAUACACAUGGAUUGAUGCAAUAGCACUGUUAGUGUACUGUGAUAUGGUUGAUGCUCUGCUCACUACUAAGCAGCAUGCUUGGUGAGAAUGGAGUCAGUCAACCAUGAAAUCAUCGCCCCCGCGAUUCCACACUCAUCUUCCAUGGUGGGAAUCUUCGAACAAUUUGAAGGCGACUCUCUUCUUGUCCUGUUGUGAUUAACGACGCCACAACAUGCUGCCCAGUAUCUUUCUGCAAUGUUUUAGGUGAAGUAUUUGGAGAUUGGUUUCUAUCUUGUCUGGAGUUUCAACAGCAAUGUGUCAAUUUCCGUUUUCCCUGUUUCUGGAAUUCUUUAUUUUUCAUCUCACGCCAUCAAAUGCUUACCUGUUCUGGUGAACAGACAAACAGAAGACUACAACAGAUUUUAGAAACCCCCAGAUCUCUAUGGGUACCCCAUGUUACAAGUGGAAUAGAGCAAUCAUCCAUGUAACCACAUAAAUGCACACAUUCAAUAAUUAAUUUAAUGAUAAUUAUCUUAUUUGAUUUACGAUAAAGCUUGCAGCUGCAAAACAGCCGAAUUUGGAACCUCUUUGUUAUCAAGUCAACUACUUGACUAAUUUGGUUGUGGUCGCUCCCCAUAAUUAUUCUUAUGUGAAUUUUUCUAA
Molecule: long non-coding RNA, 1049 nt
Organism: Ipomoea nil (Japanese morning glory)
Lineage: Eukaryota; Viridiplantae; Streptophyta; Magnoliopsida; Solanales; Convolvulaceae
Exons: 4
Source: RefSeq, a predicted model, not a curated record